Molecule: ribosomal RNA, 252 nt
Filed under: uncultured bacterium
Lineage: Bacteria
Description: partial 16S ribosomal RNA
Rfam family: Bacterial small subunit ribosomal RNA
Source: RNAcentral
UACGUAGGGGGCUAGCGUUAUCCGGAAUUACUGGGCGUAAAGGGUGCGUAGGUGGUUUCUUAAGUCAGAGGUGAAAGGCUACGGCUCAACCGUAGUAAGCCUUUGAAACUGGGAAACUUGAGUGCAGGAGAGGAGAGUGGAAUUCCUGGUGUAGCGGUGAAAUGCGCAGAUAUCAGGAAGAACACCCGUGGCGAAGGCGGCUCUCUGGGACGUGACUGACGCUGAGACGCGAAAGCGUGGGGAGCGAACAGG